Molecule: long non-coding RNA, 2836 nt
Organism: Anas platyrhynchos (mallard)
Lineage: Eukaryota; Metazoa; Chordata; Aves; Anseriformes; Anatidae
Source: RefSeq, a predicted model, not a curated record
CUCUAUCAUAUUAAUUUUUUGAAGUUUUACCAUUCUCCUGCACUCUUUAUUUCUGUUUGAGAGAAAUCUCAGAAGAUACUUUAAUUGGACUUAUUUUUUCUUAUUAUAGCUUUUUAUUAUCUCAUUAAUCAAUCUUAACAAGACGUAUUUUUGAUUGCCCACUGGCAGUGCUUAUCUUUCUGUGUUCUAUAUUUGAAGUACCAAUCUGUGAAGAAAAGUUAUUCAUUGUCCUUUGCUCUGUGAAAAAAGGCAUUACCUCUAUCAGUUACUUGGAGUUUCAAUCACUGCCAAAACAAAGUAGAAAGCCAUUCUGCCACCCCUUCCCCCUGCCCUCCAUCCCAGCUGUCUCUAAUCUAAUGAAAGGGCCGAGGGAAUAAAUUGCCACUUAGGGACACCUGCCCUUCCCCACCAAGCCACAGUUACCAGCUCCUCUGUGCCCUGCUGUAUUUAGCAACAAGAACUUUUUACAGACUCAAGAAUUUGUUGCAGAUUUUCUGAUGUAGGACCAACUUUAAACAGUGAAAUAGUUGUGCUGUUCAGCGAUGCAGGUCACAUAAAUACUAUGUUCAACACAGAGGAUUUACAGCGCCCGCUGACCAUCCGGCCGUGCUUUCUGCCAGCACGCCGAGAGGCCUGCCAUCAAAACGAGCACAAAAAACGGGGACGUGCAGCUAUACGAAGCAACGCAGUGUGCCAAACAGACAGACCGCCAAACGCAGCGUUGUUGCUUAUUUCAUUGACCAUCUCCAUCUUCCUGCUGAAGCGAGGAGUCUGACCGCUGACCACUAGAUGACACUGUUGUAUAAGGCCACGCUCAGCAUAAUGGCUUUAACAAUAACUAAUUUACUUAGGGAACAUGUAUGUGUAUAAUUAGGAGUCAUCAAUGUCUUUCUUUUAAAAUAAAAUAAGUUUACCAUACCCAAUUAGAUAUUUCUUCCAAGAUGAAUUUCAUUCUAAUUGGGUAAAGCUAUGCUACUGGCUUAAAACAUGGCAAAGGGUGUAUUUGUAUCCACUUCCACGGUUUCCAUAUUUUUUUAGUUCUUGCAAUAAAUGGAUCUGAUUACACCUUUUAAAUCGAUGUUCUCUCAAACUGGUAUGACAUAAAUGAUUGUUCUGUCAUUGUGAUUUUACUGCCAUUGUUUUCGGUGUGUGAGGUUUGUUAGUGAUAUCUCUCUUAAUCUCGUUCUGUCUUUCCCCCAUCCUCCUGAUUGUGAUCUUGAAUCUGCAUGUUCUUUCCAUCAAAACUGAAGUAAUCUAUUUAAAGAGGCAACGACUGCCACCAUGCAUGACUGUAGCCUGACCAUGACACUGCAGGCUUUCGAGCAGCUGUGAGAUCAGUAAUCCCCGGCUAAUGAACGAGAGCUCCAAAAUGUCCGUUGUCUGGGGGUUUUCUUUAAAAGCUCGGAUUUCCUGUAACUGAGCAUUGCCAAUGGAAAAUCUAGUUUCUACAGAUGUCAGACUAAAUUCAACCUAGGUAAAAUGCAAAUUCGGUGCUUUUCUAUAGGGAAAAUGAAUGCAUUUAAGCUUCUGUGUGAAUUCAGGACCAGCUAGGCAGAGCCACACCCAGCAUGGACAAGGCUUACAUCCCUUCCCAAAGAAAUUUCAUUAAUGCCUGAAUUUGCUUUGCCAGCUGAGUUCUGGAUAUUCCCACCAAAAUGCCGUGUCAUGUGCCAGUGCAAGAACUAUGCUCAAUUUACAGUUUUGGUACAGGUGAUCAGCUCUGGUGACUACGGACAGGGACACCGCCAGUUUCACCUUGUGCCUGUUCCUAUCAGUCCAUUCCUGUGGCUGCCUGAACAGAACUUGUCUAUUAAAUCUUGAUGGCAUCUUUUAAAUUAAUUUCAGUUCUCUUCUGGAAGAAAAAAAAAAAAAAAAAAAAGCUACUCCUGCAACAAAAUAAUGGCAAAGUCAUCUGAGAAUAAUGUUCAAAACGUGUUUUAUAACUACAUAGUACCUCAGAAGUAGCUUGUCUGUCUAACCCAUUUGUGCAAUGCUUUUUGUGCUAUCCCAGUAUCUCAUAUACAAAAUUAUGGGCUAUUAUAUUAAGUCAGAUCUGUGUCUUAUUUAUUGAAGUGUUGGUUCACUAAAUAAAGGAUCUCAGUGAUGAUUUGAGCUGGCUAAAAACCUGCUUGAAAAUUAUAUAUUUCAGCUAAAGGUUUUCAACAAGCUCUAUUUUUGAAGCUGAAGUGCUUCAAUUCCCAAUGACCAAAUUCAUUAAAAUAUAAAUUAGCCUAAAGAAACAGAUGAAUUUCAAUGGAGUAUUUGCAUAUCAUAUUUGGUGUGAAUGUAACAGUUUCUUCAUGUAGACUAACAGCUACUGCAAUCUUCAGAGCCCCAUGGUUGAGUAAAUGACUGUGGGGAGAAUGAAGAAGCAACGAGGACAAAGAUGAAAAUUAUUUGUACUAAAUGUGAAAGAAUAUUGCAGCCUGAAUUAAAGCAUGUGUUAAAACAGUUUCCUCAACUAAGACAUAUCUUAGCUAAUCAGUUAAGCAUCGGAGGUAUAUACAUGUCAAAGUGUUCCAAUCACAGAAAGAGAUUUAAGAAAAUGAAUGUCAUGUUUCAAUUGUAUUUUCAGAAUUGUAGAUAAUUAGUGAUUAUUGCAAAAAGGGAGAAUAUGAUCUAAGGAAUAAAGGUGGAGAGAAAUCAGGCUGGGUGGAUUACAGUGUCAUACCUCUGGGGAGUUAAAUGAUCCACCUGUGGUAAAGACCUUUGCAUCCGCAAAAGGCAGGAAUAGAAAUUACUCAUAAAGUUUGACCUGUUGUUCUGUAAGUAAUAUAGCAGAGACUCCAAUACGGGCUAUCUUGUCAAUUCCUUUUAAUAAAUGAAGCUGAACUGA